AUCCAAGUGCACGGGCGUUUUCCUUCUCCGUGAAGCGAUAAGCUGAGGGAGGAAUUUUGCUAGUUGAAAACUACAACAGGACCGCUCCUUAUUGGGUUCGCCCGGUGAGGGGAUUUUUUGACAAAUCGCAUGACU
RNAcentral lists this small nuclear RNA (135 nucleotides) under Ophiocordyceps sinensis. RNAcentral's name for it is "U4 spliceosomal RNA". It matches the Rfam family "U4 spliceosomal RNA". Rfam says of the family: U4 small nuclear RNA (U4 snRNA) is a component of the major U2-dependent spliceosome. The structure of U4 snRNA from yeast and human has been reported. Lineage: Eukaryota; Fungi; Ascomycota; Sordariomycetes; Hypocreales; Ophiocordycipitaceae. RNAcentral also lists the same sequence under 1 other name. The record is from Rfam by way of RNAcentral.